Molecule: ribosomal RNA, 497 nt
Filed under: uncultured bacterium
Lineage: Bacteria
Description: partial 16S ribosomal RNA
Rfam family: Bacterial small subunit ribosomal RNA
Source: RNAcentral
GAUGAACGCUGGCGGCGUGCCUAAUACAUGCAAGUCGAGCGAACGGACGAGAAGCUUGCUUCUCUGAUGUUAGCGGCGGACGGGUGAGUAACACGUGGAUAACCUACCUAUAAGACUGGGAUAACUUCGGGAAACCGGAGCUAAUACCGGAUAAUAUUUUGAACCGCAUGGUUCAAAAGUGAAAGACGGUCUUGCUGUCACUUAUAGAUGGAUCCGCGCUGCAUUAGCUAGUUGGUAAGGUAACGGCUUACCAAGGCAACGAUGCAUAGCCGACCUGAGAGGGUGAUCGGCCACACUGGAACUGAGACACGGUCCAGACUCCCACGGGAGGCAGCAGUGGGGAAUCUUCCGCAAUGGGCGAAAGCCUGACGGAGCAACGCCGCGUGAGUGAUGAAGGUCUUCGGAUCGUAAAGCUCUGUUAUUAGGGAAGAACAUAUGUGUAAGUAACUGUGCACAUCUUGACGGUACCUAAUCAGAAAGCCACGGCUAACUACGUG